AGUGCACAGGGUGAAUGCCUUGGCAGUAAGAGGCGAAGAAGGACGUAGUAGUCUGCGAAAGCCACGGUUAGCUGACAAACGAGCUAUGAUCCGUGGGUAUCCGAAUGGGGAAACCCGGCGCGUGAGAGCGCGUCAUGGCAUGCUGAAUAAAUAGGUAUGUUAGGCGAACGUGGGGAAUUGAAACAUCUCAGUACCCACAGGAAAAGAAAUCAACCGAGAUUCUGGGAGUAGCGGCGAGCGAAACUGGAACAGCCCGAGCGCUGAAUGGACGUAUAUAGUAGAGGAACCACGUGGGAAAGUGGGCCGUAGAGGGUGAUAGCCCCGUACUUGAAACUAUAUAGGUACUUAGCGUUCAAAGAGUAGGGCGGGACACGUGAAAUCCUGUCUGAAUAUGGGGGGACCAUCCUCCAAGGCUAAAUACUCCUUACUGACCGAUAGUGAACUAGUACCGUGAGGGAAAGGCGAAAAGAACCCCUAUAAGGGGAGUGAAAUAGAACCUGAAACCGUGUGCAUACAAGCAAUAGGAGCUUCGCGCUUGCGCGAAGUGACUGUGUACCUUUUGUAUAAUGGGUCAGCGAGUUAUUCUCAGUAGCGAGGUUAAGCGAAUAGUGAAGCCGAAGGGAAACCGAGUCUUAAUAGGGCGAUAAGUUGCUGGGAGUAGACCCGAAACCGGGUGAUCUAUCCAUGGCCAGGAUGAAGGUUGGGUAAAACCAAGUGGAGGUCCGAACCCACUAAUGUUGCAAAAUUAGGGGAUGAGUUGUGGAUAGGGGUGAAAGGCUAAUCAAACUCGGUAAUAGCUGGUUCUCCUCGAAAACUAUUUAGGUAGUGCCUUAAGAGAUGACUUACGGGGGUAGAGCACUGUUUCGGUGAUGGGGGCAUUCGUGCCUUACUGAACCGAUGCAAACUCAGAAUACCGUAAAGUUUAACUUAGGAGACACACUGCGGGUGCUAAGGUCCGUGGUGGAAAGGGAAAGAGCCCAGACCGUCAGUUAAGGUCCCAAAGUUGUGAUUAAGUGGAAAACGAUGUAGAAAGGCAUAGACAGCCAGGAGGUUGGCUUAGAAGCAGCCAUCCUUUAAAGAAAGCGUAAUAGCUCACUGGUCGAGUCGGUCUGCGCGGAAGAUAUAACGGGGCUAAAAUCACACACCGAAGCUACGGAUUUAGAGGAUAGACUAUAGAGGAUAGAAGAUAGAUGAAAGGGAUAAGUAGAUUUGAAGACUUAAGUGUAUUCAGGAAGGCAUAUAAAGUGUCUCUUGAGAUACAUACCUUGUGUUUGAAGAUGCCGAAAGAGGAGCAGUACGGAGGUAUUGCGGACCAGUUGAGGCGGUCGAGCAAGGGGAUAUGUGCGAACAUAGCGGAAGGUUAUGGAAAGCAGCAUGUGUCGAGUAAGGAAUUUCAAAGAUAUUUAUCGAUGGCGAUAGGUUCAGCGAAUGAAGUGAGGGUAUGGUUACGAUAUGCUUUAGAUUUAGGGUAUAUUGAAGAAGUACGCUGGCUGGAGUUCAAAGAGAGUUACCUUGAGAUAGCGAAGAUGUUAUCUGGGUUGCAUCGCAGUUGGAAAUGAAGGAUUCAUCUAUGUUCUGUUUUUUAUAGUCUAUCCUCUAGAUGGUAGAGGAGCGUUCUGUACGCCUGAGAAGGUGAAUCGAGAGGUUUGCUGGAGGUAUCAGAAGUGCGAAUGCUGACAUAAGUAACGAAAAUGCGGGUGAGAUUCCCGCACGCUGGAAGUCCAAGGGUUCCUGCGCAAUGUUGAUCAGCGCAGGGUGAGUCGGUUCCUAAGGCGAGGCUGAGAGGCGUAGUCGAUGGGAAACAGGUUAAUAUUCCUGUACUUUUUGUUAAUUCGAAGCAGGGACGGAGAAGGCUAGGUUUGCCAGGCGAAUGGUUGUCCUGGUGAAAGCAUGUAGGCGUUUCCCAAUAGUUAAGUACGUUGGGGGUAGCUGAGGUGCGAGAGGAGUUUUCCUUAGGGAAGACGAAGGAACUGAUGCCACGCUUCCGGGAAAAGCUGCUAAGGUUAGUUAACAAGGAACCGUACCCCAAACCGACACUGGUGGACAGGUAGAGAAUACUAAGGCGUUGAGAGAACUCAGGUGAAGGAACUAGGCAAAAUGGUACCGUAACUUCGGGAGAAGGUACGCUCUUGCUGGUGAAGAGAUUUACUCUUGGAGCUGGUGGGAGUUGCAAAUACUAGGUGGCUGCGACUGUUUAACAAAAACACAGCACUCUGCAAACACGAAAGUGGACGUAUAGGGUGUGACGCCUGCCCGGUGCCGGAAGGUUAAUUGAUGCGGUGCAAGCUGCUGAUCGAAGCCCCGGUAAACGGCGGCCGUAACUAUAACGGUCCUAAGGUAGCGAAAUUCCUUGUCGGGUAAGUUCCGACCUGCACGAAUGGCGUAACGAUGGCCACGCUGUCUCCACCUGAGACUCAGUGAAAUUGAAAUUGCAGUGAAGAUGCUGCAUACCCGCGGCUAGACGGAAAGACCCCGUGAACCUUUACUAUAACUUUACACUGGACUUUGAUUAUUGUUGUGUAGGAUAGGUGGGAGGCUAUGAAACUUGAUCGCUAGAUUGAGUGGAGCCGACCUUGAAAUACCACCCUAUAAUGAGCGAAGUUCUAACUUAGGCCUGUAAUCCAGGUUGAGGACAGUGUAUGGUGGGUAGUUUGACUGGGGCGGUCUCCUCCUAAAGAGUAACGGAGGAGUGCGAAGGUACCCUGGGUGUGGUUGGAAAUCACACUAACAGUGCAAAGGCAUAAGGGUGCUUAACUGCGAGAGCGACGGUUCGAGCAGGUACGAAAGUAGGUCUUAGUGAUCCGGUGGUUCUGAAUGGAAGGGCCAUCGCUCAACGGAUAAAAGGUACUCCGGGGAUAACAGGCUGAUACCGCCCAAGAGUUCAUAUCGACGGCGGUGUUUGGCACCUCGAUGUCGGCUCAUCACAUCCUGGGGCUGUAGCAGGUCCCAAGGGUAUGGCUGUUCGCCAUUUAAAGUGGUACGCGAGCUGGGUUCAGAACGUCGUGAGACAGUUCGGUCCCUAUCUACCGUGGGCGUAGGAUAUUUGAGAGAAGCUGCUCCUAGUACGAGAGGACCGGAGUGGACAUACCGCUGGUGUAUGGGUUGUGAUGCCAAUUGCAUUGCCCAGUAGCUAAGUAUGGAAGGGAUAACCGCUGAAAGCAUCUAAGCGGGAAGCCUGGCUCAAGAUGAGAUAUCCCCAGAGCAAUCUGUAAGGCACGUUGAAGACUACGACGUUGAUAGGCUAGGUGUGUAAGCGCUGCGAGGCGUUGAGCUAACUAGUACUAAUAUGCUGAAGUUUUGGAU
Molecule: ribosomal RNA, 3303 nt
Filed under: freshwater metagenome
Description: bacterial LSU rRNA
Rfam family: Bacterial large subunit ribosomal RNA
Source: RNAcentral